Molecule: long non-coding RNA, 2914 nt
Organism: Oreochromis niloticus (Nile tilapia)
Lineage: Eukaryota; Metazoa; Chordata; Actinopteri; Cichliformes; Cichlidae
Exons: 3
Source: RefSeq, a predicted model, not a curated record
ACCGCUCACAUCUGGUUUUGAGUCAAGGCCAGGUUGGUUUCUUCAGGAAUGGGGGGCUUUUAUUUCUCAAUGGCCCCACACUCCUCUAGUUUCAUCCUCCGGUAUGCAUAAGAAAAUCCACUAUGUUUACAAGCUGGUGCUCCCGUCUUUAUGUUGAUUCUACUCGGUCCACAUUUUCAUUAGUGGAGAACCCAGCAGUCAUCUCCAAUUAAUAGCAGGAAUGUUGGCUGGCUGAUGGCUGUGAAGCCUUUCUGUGUCAGUUCGAGGUGACUUUGUGUUUCCACAAACUGUGAAUGUCAUAGAAAACUUUUAUUCCAAUUAUAUUUUCAUAUUUAAAAAAAGCAAUCUGGAGGAUUUCAGAAAACCACACAACUUCAGAUAUACACGAGGAAACAGACGGUAUCCUGUUUUGUAUUUUUCCAGCAUAUGUUUAUACUUGGAUGCACAUGCAGACAUCAGAUCGAGUUUCCAUAUAGAAUACCCAGAGGAGAGAGGAACAAAAAGAAAAUCAUGUUAGCCUCGUGUUUUUUAAGACUCAGUUUUCAAAAGCAGUUGUGCAUCAUAUGGUUUAAAGAAUUGACUAAAAGAAGUGUGUGCACUUAUAUUUAGGGGGUGAGCUAGAGGGAGUGAUGUGAGAACAAAGAUGUGCACUGUUUUCCAGUGGGAGGAUGGGUGGUAGGCAGGCUGCAAGAGAGAGAGAGAGGGGCUGCUGGGGGAUGUCUGAUGUCACCUGGUAGGGAGCUAUGAAAGCAUCCCCUGGUUACCCUAUCCCACAUAAAAGUCUGGCAGUAGGCUGAGGCUUUAGGGAAGCUUGGCAGAACUGCUGCAUUAAACAGGAACAAACAUCACACACCUUUCUUUCUGUCUCUUAUGUCAAGGUGUCUGGGAGACAGAAUCUGUUUACAUGGAACACUGUCGCUGCUUUUUUCCAAUGCAUUUUUUAAAGAAAACUGCUAUCUGAUACCUUAUCAUUUCCCUGUCAUUCCUGUUGAAGUGCCUGUUCUGCACAUGCAGUGUUGGCUUUUUUAGUAGUUUUUUUCCUCCAUACCCAAUGCGACACACUUCAAGGAUUUCAGGUGUACACCACUGGUAGAAAAAUGAGGAACACUUUGCUCCAAAAUGCUAACAGAUUUCCGCAGGCCGCAGAGCAGUUUGUGAUCUGAUAGUGAAAGAAUGAGAGCUGCUAGAUGCCAGAAAGCAGUUAAUUACACAUGUGGUGGGCAGAUUUGAGCCCGACACUGUGGGCGAUGUGGAUAGAGAUGCCAUGUGUUUGGACGUUAAACUGCAGACUGCGGUCGGCCCCAGCCUGCUCUCUCAUUAGCUCCCCCCAUAGAUGUAAUGAGCAUGGUGGUGGUGGUAGUCGGGGGAGCCAUGUGCUCAACACAAGCCCCGCUGGUUCGCUCAUUUUGCACUCAGCGAGAUGCGUCCCGAUAUGUGAUUUUUAAUUAAAGACCAGCUGGUUGAUUAAUUUCGUUUCAUUGGAUUUAAGGCAGAAUCUUUCAUUUGGAGGUGCUCGUACCUUGCUUCACACCCUCAUGGGGAUGAGGAUGGGAGGAAUCGGUGGUUGUCUUUGAUGUUCCCCUGAGCUGCAGAGCAGUGUCUCUGUGUGAACUCCCUCUUCCUUACAUACUGGCCUUCAUUAUGGGACUGAGCACAGAGAGGAGAGAUAAAAGCAUCCAGUGCAGAGAGGAAACAACAACUUGGCUGCAGAAACCACAAAAGAUGGAAACUGUUUUGUUUUUUGUUUUUGUCUAUGGAUACAUAUACGCUUUGUUUCCAGUGUGUGCUUUUGAUGAUUAAAGAGUCCUUCUUGUUUGGUGCCCAGGGAUUGGUAUCAGUUGUCUCCACCUCUCAAAGAAGCCUUCCAGAGCCUCUAAAAACCCACCUCCGUCCCUCCCCCAGAGCUCCCAGAGACUGGAGUAAGCAACAGAUAGGCACUAUCUCCCAAACUGCUUCCUCCUUUACCUCGACGCUUAUCUGCUUUCUCGCUUCUCAUAUCUUUGUCUCUCUUAUCUUCACCUUCCUCCUCUCUUCUCCUUUGCACCCGCUUUCCUCUUUCUUUCUUUCUCCUCACCUCCUGGCCCUUUCCUGCCUCCCUUUCCUCCCCCUCCCCGAGGCUCGACUCCUAUUCUUUUUGCUGUUUUUUCUCAGUGUCUCCUGUGGCCAAUUUGCAAGGGGUAUCCAAGCCUUGACCCUGAGACUCAAUGGGCUCCCCCUUUAGCGGUGAAGGUCAGGACCAGAUUACAGGCUGGUGGUAUCAUGCUCUGAAGUGAGGAAUAAUCAUAGGCUUUGGGAUUGUUAAAUAGAACCACAGGCCCUGGCGCGGUGAUUACUCUCAGAAAGAGGGGAAGGGGAAGGGAGAGGAAAGGGUGGGGGGGCUCGUUCACCUAAACGCAUGCAGAUGUUCAGACUCCCGCUCGAGCCUCAGUUCAGCUGAAGAGUUGUGCAUUUAAUCAGUCCCAUCCUAUCUGCACGGAAAUUUCCAUCUGAGCUGCCAUCAAAUGCUUCUCGGUGGGUGUCGCGUCAAGCAGGAUGAGAAUAAACAGGUUGGCUGAGAGAGAGCGAGCUCAGAUGAUGAAGUGCAUCAUGGUGGGGUUUUUUUGUCUUUUUUUGAUGGAUGUGAGGGAUCUGUUUGAAGGGCUUGGAGGAAUCUUGAAAGCUUGGCUGUGGCUGGGCCUGCUGUGUCCCAGACAGUGAAACACAAUAAGCGUGCAGAUGUUCAAAGUGUUUGGCCGCGCUGGAGCCUCCAGCCCUCUCCCGUUCAUCUGAGUAGGAAAUGCUUUAGCUGGAACUGUUUGUUUUCUCUGUGUCUGUGGUCUGAACUGUAGAUUCACUUACAUCUCUCUCUCCCUCCUCCUCUUCCUCCUCCUCCUCUCUCUGUUUCUCUCCGUCUCUCUUUUCUAAUUUGUUUCCU